RNAcentral lists this ribosomal RNA (516 nucleotides) under uncultured bacterium. RNAcentral's name for it is "bacterial SSU rRNA". It matches the Rfam family "Bacterial small subunit ribosomal RNA", at positions 8 to 491 of the family's 1533-position model. The record is from RNAcentral.
AGAGUUUGAUCCUGGCUCAGGACGAACGCUGGCGGCGUGCCUAAUACAUGCAAGUCGAGCGAGCUGAACCAGCAGAUUCACUUCGGUGAUGACGCUGGGAACGCGAGCGGCGGAUGGGUGAGUAACACGUGGGUAACCUGCCCUAAAGUCUGGGAUACCACUUGGAAACAGGUGCUAAUACCGGAUAACAACAAUAGCUGCAUGGCUAUUGCUUAAAAGGCGGCGAAAGCUGUCGCUAAAGGAUGGACCCGCGGUGCAUUAGCUAGUUGGUAAGGUAAUGGCUUACCAAGGCGACGAUGCAUAGCCGAGUUGAGAGACUGAUCGGCCACAUUGGGACUGAGACACGGCCCAAACUCCUACGGGAGGCAGCAGUAGGGAAUCUUCCACAAUGGGCGAAAGCCUGAUGGAGCAACGCCGCGUGAGUGAAGAAGGUUUUCGGAUCGUAAAGCUCUGUUGUUGGUGAAGAAGGAUAGAGGUAGUAACUGGCCCCUAUUUGACGGUAAUCAACCAGAAAGU